Molecule: long non-coding RNA, 1440 nt
Filed under: Chinchilla lanigera (long-tailed chinchilla)
Lineage: Eukaryota; Metazoa; Chordata; Mammalia; Rodentia; Chinchillidae
Description: lncRNA (ENSCLAG00000024603.1)
Source: RNAcentral
CUGCUUUGAACUUUCUGCCUGCCAAAGUUUACAAUGAGUAUCUUGUCAUGGUCACAAUUUGCUACCCUAGUAAUAAGGUGCCCUUUGAUAUAGCCUCAUAUGCAGAGACAUAGGGAAAGAUUUCCUUUCCCAUCUAGUUUUUUUCCUUGCCUUGUUUAUUUAUUUUGCUUGUUUAUUUAUGGAUGCUUGCUACUUGAAGAGUUUGCCCCCUCAGAGAGAGACUGGUGCAUCUUUCCUUGGUGACCUACUUCCGUAAGCCCUUCCUCUUAUAAGCCAGUGAAGAUGUCUGCAAGUUUUUCAGAGCUGACAUCAGCAUACAUCACUGCUUUUGUCUCUCACUGUAGUGGGGCCUCAUCAGUGUGUAUGGAGUGAGUCACACAGAUGCACUGAUGGACUCUGAAGAAAGAAUCAAGAGCCAGCAGCAGGCAGAAAUGAGUAGGCCUUUCUAGUCCACUCAAAUGCAAAAGUGCUGGGACAAAGAAAGGAUUGAAAAUAGCUGUGCCUUGUUGGAGCGUGAGUGUUUUCUUCCAGUUAGGUAGCCACCCUUGGUCUCAAACAGAAUCUACAGCAACCUCAGAAGCUCAAAAUGACAUUUUUUAAGCUAGCCCACUUGACUAACAUUGCCCUGUAUUUGUUUUGCUGUGUUUUCCUCCCCAGAAAUGAAUUGGAAAGGCAAUACUUGGGUCUACUUGAAUUUAAUGUUAAUGUGUCUGCCAGUAUUUAUGCCAAAUACUACUUUGAUCUUCGCUCUUUAGCAAAUGAAAGCAACAUAUAUUUUGUGUUUGCACUUCUCACCAAAGAAAGAGCACAGAAACUAGAGGCCAUGUCAAGCUUGUGUGAGAACAAAGGCUUGUGCAGAGCUGCUAUGAGAAGAUGCUCCAGUGAUGGCAAUUUCACUGGUAUUUGUCUGUCCAAUGCUAUCCUCUCUUAAAAGGGGGAAAUGGGAGCUAUGAUAUCAUAAACCCCUCAUUUAGAAAAGAUGGAGAAAUAUCAUCUCUCUUGCAAAAAAAUCCAAAGUUAACAUUUUUACCAAAAGGAAAGAUCUUGAAUUUAAGAAAUGCCUGGACAAUGACAGUUGUACUGCAUGGGAAAUUAAGUGACCUUAUCAAAGCAGCAAAACACUGCCUGUCUUCAUUAUGUGAGCAGAGUUCCAAGUACUGCAAAGCAGAAGCUCCCAACUGAUACAGCCAUUUGCUUAUUUCGCAGUCCAGUGCAUGUGAACUCCAUGAGGUUUUUGCACUAAGAGUUUAAAUUUAAACUAGCUUAAAUUUUUCAUUAAUUUUUAAGAAAUAGAUUUAGAAAAUAGUACACAGAAUUUCAACUUUGAAGAUGACUAUUACAUGCAGGUUUUUUUGGAGAAAAUGCUACAAUUUAAAUUUGUUUUUCAUUUCCAUGUUUAUAUUUUUAAAAGAUAAUAAACUAUUUUUAUUAAAACACAGC